GCCGCCGUGGCCUAACUGGAUAAGGCAUCAGACUUCUAAUCUGAGGAUUGCGGGUUCGAUCCCCGCCGGUGGUA
This is a non-coding RNA of Tieghemiomyces parasiticus, 74 nucleotides long. NCBI's taxonomy places the organism in Eukaryota, Fungi, Kickxellomycota, Dimargaritomycetes, Dimargaritales, Dimargaritaceae. The record is from the annotation of a GenBank genome assembly.